This is a long non-coding RNA of Cephus cinctus (wheat stem sawfly), 4259 nucleotides long. RefSeq lists it as uncharacterized. The record is from RefSeq and is a predicted model, not a curated record. Lineage: Eukaryota; Metazoa; Arthropoda; Insecta; Hymenoptera; Cephidae. The transcript is spliced from 4 exons.
GUUCGUCAUACCAUCCUCAAGCUAUCGACGUCAAGACGUCAAGACGUCAAGACGUCAAGACACGCUUCGGGAUUGGCUUGAACGACAGUUAGAAGGAAUCCUAAUGUGUUUAGGAUUUGGUGUGGUUCACGAAGACAUUGGCCGAUUGAUAAGAAAGCUGCUACCUUCACUCGUAUAUAUCGAUACGUGCACGUUGCUACGUUCAGUCUACUGUAGUUUCGAUUGUUUACAUGCGAGGUCGUUGCCCUGUGAACGCCUUUUACUUUACAUUUUGACUCUGGGGGUCGAUUGUGUACUUAAUGGCCAAUUUCUUCACCUUCGGAUAAAAUUAAUCUUGCGGAUAAAUACCCAGCUAAUCAAUCGUUUUCGUGUCUUAGGAGUUUAUCCGUAGGAUAGGUUUUAUCCGGAGGUGAAGAAAUUAGCGAUAACUCGUAGUAAGAAUACGAAAAGUGAAUAGCUGUUAGCCAAUCGCGUGUUAGGGUCGGAAGAAGAUAAGCACAACGAUUGGCUAACAGAACAGAACAGCCAUUCACUUUUAGCAUUUUCAGUACAUUUGAGUUACACAAUCGACCCCCUGCUCUGAGUACGAGGAGGAGUCGAGUAGGUGUCACCACCAAACGAUUAGUACAGAACAAAAUUUAGAAGAGGAAAUGAAGUGUCAAAGGAAACCAUAGGUACUAAACGAUUCCCGCACGUACUAAGAGAAUCCUAGCAAAUUCACGUACCACGGCCAAUUUAAUCAUAAAGCUUCUUACAGUUUUCAAUUCAACGAUAUCGCCGCUACUGAAAACUGUUAGAUUCCCCGUUGUCGUCGAUUAGAAAUCCGCCAAUAUCCACGAGCAAACGUACAGCGCCAUAACCUCAACUAUCGUAAACAGCAAGUGAGGAUUCAGCGAAGUGAACGUGGAACGUUAUCAAAGACUUUGUAGCUGAACUUCCAUAUCAAAUGGAUGAAGUGGGUGAAAUGGAUAAGGAAGAGAAUCUAGGUCGUAGUGGAUACGAAUGAAAAGGUUGUUCUGUCGCAACAAAGUGUACCUCCUUAAACGAUUGACAUUGUACGCAGAAUCAGCCCACGUCGAUACGCCCUCGAAUCUCCGACGAAGCAUUCGAUCAUUUGUCAUUAGAUUACACCUACUACACAGUCUCUCUAUAUAAAAUAUAUGUAAACUGGAAGUGAUACCGAUGAACACGUUGACGUAGACGAUAUCAACCGAAUCAACUGACAGCGAGCGAGUAGCGGCCGACUAGCGGGAUUUUCGCGCCACAGGAUCGAAUAUACAUAGUAGGGAACGUCGCUGUUAUCGAAGCGAUGCUCAAGUCACUCCGCAAUUAAGUUCGUCCUUGAGGAUUUUGACUGUCAGAAAUGAAAGAUAAGAGGAAACGAUCAUCUACGUCCUACUUCAGGUUGAGAGUACUAGAAGUAGAAGGAGUGUAUGUAAGACUAUAAGAAAAGGUCUGCAGAUAAUACUUAUCUAUUAUAGUAGUAAGGUCAUGAAAUCAUAACGUUAUCGACAGAACAGUAUCUCCUCUGUUACGACUGUUCCGAUUUCCUUAUCAGCUUCCGCAUUGACAAUGAUAUACAAGGUGAUGCACGUGCUUCGGCAGAAUAUCCAUUUCUAGUACAGAAAUCAAUCGAACCGUUGAUCUAAUAAAUUUACCAUUUUCUCUUCUUUCUCUUCUUCUUCUUCUUUCUCUUCUUUCUCUUGUUCAGUGAAUUUUGUCCUCAGUCGAACCGACGCCCGCACUUAGUUGCUUGGGCGCUUACGUACGCCCACAACGUGCAUCAAGCGUUAUGUGUAGUCGUUGGUUGCGAGGUGAAGGACCGAGGAGCACGUAUCGGAGAAACGGAUGGACGGAUGGACGGAUGGACGGACGGAUCGAGGAACGAACGAAUGGGCGAGCGAACCGGUGGGUUCUUGGGUUGGUGACCCGUUACCAUCACUGACCACUGCCAACGGGUCGACAACCUCCGCCUUGUCGCAGCCCAAAUUUUCGACGAUCUCUCAGCCGACAUACGUCACGAGGACGUCUAUGAGUCUGGAGAAGAAUUGAUCCAGAAUUGGCAAUAAAUGAGUGACCGGCUGUCGGUGUUCCAGGGUGGCCGACGACGACGACGAUAGUAGGAAAUUUUAGCGUGUAAAAAUUGCUCAGCUCGGCCAUUUCGCAGGCGCGUGGUAUAAGCUCCUUCGUUUUUUAUCGUUUACACUGUUUCACCACCCAUGUUAUUUUUGCGAAUAAUAGGUCAGGUUAUGUAACGCUUAAUCCGCAUUAUCGAGUCAAUAGUGGCAGACUACUGGUACGACGAAGCUUCCCGCCACCGCUUUAAGGCUGAGCUGGCACUUUUGUGAAAUCACUUAGCGACGACGACGACGACGAUGAUGUUGCCCAAAUUGCAUUAAACGCAUUCUUUGAUCGAGUCGAUCGAGUCGAUCGAAAAAGUGGAUGCUCACCAGAAGUCAUCGGUUACGAGGAAUUGGCUGCAUUCUUUGGACAGUGGAAUUUGCAAUGAGUUAUUGGCCACUGCCAGCGGUACUGGCUGCUUGCGACAUGACGAGCGUCGAGCACGGGGCACGUAGUGGCGGGUUUGUACAGCUCUUUGGCUGUCACGAUGGCAGUGACGUUUGGGCCUUUAGAAUAUAAGUAAGAAAUAUAUAUAUAGUAUAAAAAGUGGCAAUGAAGGAAGUAGGGAACGAAGGUACGCGAGAACGGUUCGUUUCGGGCUGCCACGAGCGGGCAUUGUGCGAUAUUUAGGUAAAAUAACGGGCCCCGCGCAACGAACCCCACUGUCAAACCUGUCACUAAAAUGUCACGACCCGUUCUCUUUCUCCCUUCCUCUCUCUCUCUCUCUCUCUCUCUCUCUCUCUCUCUCUGACUUCUUUUGUUUGCAGAUAGACAUCAAGCCAGACGACAGUGUGGAGUCCCCUUGUCGUUCCAGUCCGUUAGAAGCAUCAGUCGAAGGUGUCUUGGUCCUGUCGAUGAUCCACAGGAUCAAGUACGAAGAAGAAGAAGGAGAACCCUGGAUACGCGAUAAGGAAGCCGAUCGACUUGGCAAUCGUCCUCAGAAGUGACAUUGGGUGAAUGACCUGCAAAGUGGGGGAAGCGAAUUUAAGCCAAUUUCAGGCCGUUGACACCGGCCCCAGGAGAAGAGGAGUAAGAACGACGAGGAUCAACAGUGUCAAGAGUGCGUUGACAAUUUGGCAAAUUGCAGGGACGAAGAGAGGAGGACGAAAAGGAGGGAGAGGUGGAAGAGGACAGCUCGAGGAAAAUAAUCGAAUUUCGCGAGGUCAACGAACCAACGCCGUGGAUCUGUUCGAUCGAUCGGUUAAUUUAUCGCUAAACGACCAAGUCGGUUCAACGACCUCCUGGAGCCGACCGCAAGACGAAUUGCCGGACCGUAGGUGACGGCGACGAAAAUUAAUGCCCUCGCGUCGACGCUGACGCAAGGCGGAGACCCAUAAGAGAGCAACGGAUAGCAGGACGAGGAGAGACGUGCUCAGUUACGUCACAAGCGAUUCCAGCACCUCGUCCCUCUUCCACCUGUGCUCAGUUCUCUCAGUUCUCUCAGUUCUCUCAGUUCUCUGCAUUGCAAAACCCAUAACGAACAAGAGCGCACCUACCGUCUGUCCACUACGCAGUACAUUUGCCUUUUAACGGUAACGUUUAGCUUCUGGCGCAUGACAGAUUACUCCCGAUUACUCCCGAUUACUCCUGGUCCCACCCGAUUACCCGCUGACAGCCGCGACUACGCGUCAGGAUCCCAAGGGGAUUGAGUACCAGCAACCGUGGAGCUGGUACCAGAGCCAGUGUCCUGGGGAACGGCGGAGAGCGCACGAAAGCCGAGGGCGUAGCCAGGGUGCGUAACUCCGGAUCGGCGCAAGAACGUGCGUACGAAGUGUCGCCUGUGCGUGCUCGAGGGAAAGGCGCGUGCAUCCGAGAGACGGGGGCAAUGCACCUGUGCCAAUAACAACAACAACGAUGACGACCACGAUCGCCGGGAGACGAGGAGUCAAGAAUCAGAGAGCGUCAGCGUCUCUAGAGCCGUUCACUUGUAUUCGUUGUAUUCGUUGUAUUCAUUGAGAAGACUCGCGGCACGCGUGGCUUAGCAUUCGAUGCAGCAGCCAUGUGUAAUGCAUAUGCAUAUGCGCCCUUACGAUGUCGUACGCUGACACAAUCCACCUGGAAUUCAUUUGCAGGAGCGCGGGGCUCUCUUUCGACGUCACGGCUUGGAAUAACCUGGAGCAAGAACUCCUAGCGUGCUU